UACGAAGGGGGCUAGCGUUGCUCGGAAUCACUGGGCGUAAAGGGCGCGUAGGCGGGCUCUUAAGUCAGGGGUGAAAUCCCCAGGCUCAACCUGGGAACUGCGUCUGAUACUGGAUGGCUUGAAUCCGGGAGAGGGAUGCAGAAUUCCAGGUGUAGCGGUGAAAUGCGUAGAUAUCUGGAGGAAUACCGGUGGCAAAGGCGGCAUCCUGGACCGGCAUUGACGCUGAGGAGCGAAAGCCAGGGGAGCAAACGGG
Molecule: ribosomal RNA, 253 nt
Filed under: uncultured bacterium
Lineage: Bacteria
Description: partial 16S ribosomal RNA
Rfam family: Bacterial small subunit ribosomal RNA
Source: RNAcentral